This 216-nucleotide ribosomal RNA is filed under the name Glomeromycotina sp. RNAcentral describes it as "partial small subunit ribosomal RNA". The stretch from base 40 to 216 matches the Rfam family "Eukaryotic small subunit ribosomal RNA", at positions 686 to 864 of the family's 1831-position model. The record is from RNAcentral. Lineage: Eukaryota; Fungi; Glomeromycota.
GGGUCAGUAGGUUGGUCGUGCCACCGGUACGUACUGGUCUCACUGAUUCCUCCUUCCUGAAGAACCGUAAUGCCAUUAAUUUGGUGUUGCGGGGAAACAGGACUGUUACUUUGAAAAAAUUAGAGUGUUUAAAGCAUGCUAACGCUUGAAUACAUUAGCAUGGAAUAAUGAAAUAGGACGAUCGAUCCUAUUUUGUUGGUUUCUAGGAUUGACGUA